CGUAGGGUGCAGGCGUUAAUCGGAAUUACUGGGCGUAAAGCGUGCGCAGGCGGCUCCUUAAGUCAGAUGUGAAAGCCCCGGGCUUAACCUGGGAACUGCGUUUGAAACUGGGGAGCUUGAGUGUGGAAGAGGGGGUGGAAUUCCAGGUGUAGCAGUGAAAUGCGUAGAGAUCUGGAGGAACACCGAUGGCGAAGGCAGCCCCCUGGGCUAACACUGACGCUCAUGCACGAAAGCGUGGGGAGCAAACAGGAUUAGAUACCCUGGUAGUCCACGCCCUAAACGAUGUCAACUGGUUGUCGGGGAAGUAAUUCCUUGGUAACGAAGCUAACGCGUGAAGUUGACCGCCUGGGGAGUACGGCCGCAAGGCUA
RNAcentral lists this ribosomal RNA (369 nucleotides) under uncultured organism. RNAcentral's name for it is "bacterial SSU rRNA". It matches the Rfam family "Bacterial small subunit ribosomal RNA", at positions 526 to 896 of the family's 1533-position model. The record is from RNAcentral.